AGUGAACGCUGGCGGUAGGCCUAACACAUGCAAGUCGAACGGCAGCACAGUAAGAGCUUGCUCUUACGGGUGGCGAGUGGCGGACGGGUGAGGAAUACAUCGGAAUCUACUUUUUCGUGGGGGAUAACGUAGGGAAACUUACGCUAAUACCGCAUACGACCUACGGGUGAAAGCAGGGGACUUUCGACCUUUCGCCAAUGGAUUGACCGGAUGUCGGAUUAGCUAGUUGGCGGGGUAAAGGCCCACCAAGGCGACGAUCCGUAGCUGGUCUGAGAGGAUGAUCAGCCACACUGGAACUGAGACACGGUCCAGACUCCUACGGGAGGCAGCAGUGGGGAGUAUUGGACAAUGGGCGCAAGCCUGAUCCAGCCAUACCGCGUGGGUGAAGAAGGCCUUCGGGUUGUAAAGCCCUUUUGUUGGGAAAGAAAAGCAGCAGGUUAAUACCCCGCUGUUCUGACGGUACCCAAAGAAUAAGCACCGGCUAACUUCGUG
RNAcentral lists this ribosomal RNA (492 nucleotides) under uncultured bacterium. Its description in RNAcentral is "partial 16S ribosomal RNA". It matches the Rfam family "Bacterial small subunit ribosomal RNA", at positions 29 to 507 of the family's 1533-position model. The record is from RNAcentral.